Molecule: long non-coding RNA, 701 nt
Organism: Lycium ferocissimum
Lineage: Eukaryota; Viridiplantae; Streptophyta; Magnoliopsida; Solanales; Solanaceae
Exons: 4
Source: RefSeq, a predicted model, not a curated record
UAUAUGUUUUUGAUUUGCUAUUUCUGCAAAAAUCAGCCACAACUAAAUCAAAUGACUCUUCCUGCUUGCUGAAUCAACUCCUUCCCAUUGACCAUGUUCAUAAGAUGUUGUCAGACAGACUGUUCCAAAUUCAAUUAAGAAAGUCAUCCUGGAGAACAUCGAAUGACACACAGACAACUGUAUCAAUUAUGUCCUAUGUAGAAAGGGAACCAAUCUUUCCACCUAGCAUUAAUCAGAGUAACACCAAAAAAAUGAAGCCUCUAAGCACAAGUGCGGUAGACAUGGAGAAAGCAUGUAUUGCAUCUGACUCUUCAAGCAUAAGGCUGAAAGAUCAACCACCCACACCAUAAAAAAGGUUGUAAAAGAUCAUGUCGUCUUUAUUUUUGUGACUUUUGCUUAUGGGAAAAGAGAUGUUUUUGGAAUCAAGUUUGUACAACUUUGCUCGGUAGGGAGGACUAAUCAUUGGGAACAGAGGAGGAUGAAGUAACGAAGAUGAUAUGCAGGUUAUUCAGCUUUUUUUGGCAGCCUCAACGUUGCACAUUCACACGUACUUCAAAAUACCUCCCUCGUUUAUGUGGUUUUUGCAAUAGCAAAGGUUGGCAACUAAGAUUAAGGGAUUGUAGCUCUUGCUUAUAUGAAAUGAUAGAUGAAGAUGUACUUGAAGAUGUUAUUUGAAUAUAGUUAGGCUAAACAAUGUACUC